Long non-coding RNA from Melanotaenia boesemani (Boeseman's rainbowfish), 643 nucleotides. RefSeq lists it as uncharacterized. The record is from RefSeq and is a predicted model, not a curated record. The transcript is spliced from 4 exons. NCBI's taxonomy places the organism in Eukaryota, Metazoa, Chordata, Actinopteri, Atheriniformes, Melanotaeniidae.
CACACCCAGCAUAAAACCUGUUGGUCAGGUGUGAUGCAUGCAAAUCAAAACUCAGCACCAGGAACAGUAACUUCACUCUAAAAACCAACAGACAGCAGCAGCCUACGAGUUUAAUACCAGAGAGAAUGAAAGCUCAGAUUCUUCUCCUGCUCCUCGUUCUUGUGGUCGGGGUUCAAGCGAUACCCAUUACAUUUAAUGGGGAUUCAAAAGUUAUCCCAGAAGAUGAAGCCUUACAAGAAAUACAUAAAGGUGUCGUGAACAACGGGAGCCCAGUUACACUGGAAACAUUUAGAAAAUCUGAAAGAUAGAUAUGAGUGAAGAAAGAGAAGAAAGAGUUUAACAAAUGUCUUUUGAAUUUGACCUAUACUGUGUCAGCCAAAGCAUGUUCAAUAAAUCAAGAUAUAAUCAAACACAUGGUCCAGUGUGUGUGAUGCGAUAAAACAGAGACAUGCAGAGAAAGUGGCACCAAAAAGAACAGCAAUAUCAAAACAGAAUCAAAAUUAAGUCUAUAUUGACUUAAUUAGACACACCUGAAGCUACUUGCCAGCAAAUCCUACCAGAAGAGAGCACCAGCGCUGGCACAUUCUAUACACACUAUAUGAUUUAUUGUACAAAAUAGCUGCGAAUAAAACUUUUACCAUGA